Molecule: ribosomal RNA, 492 nt
Filed under: uncultured bacterium
Lineage: Bacteria
Description: partial 16S ribosomal RNA
Rfam family: Bacterial small subunit ribosomal RNA
Source: RNAcentral
AGUGAACGCUGGCGGUAGGCCUAACACAUGCAAGUCGAACGGCAGCACAGUAAGAGCUUGCUCUUACGGGUGGCGAGUGGAGGACGGGUGAGGAAUACAUCGGAAUCUACUUUUUCGUGGGGGAUAACGUAGGGAAACUUACGCUAAUACCGCAUACGACCUACGGGUGAAACCAGGGGAUCUUCGGACCUUGCGCGAUUGAAUGAGCCGAUGUCGGAUUAGCUAGUUGGCGGGGUAAAGGCCAACCAAGGCGACGAUCCGUAGCUGGUCUGAGCGGAUGAUCAGCCACACUGGAACUGAGACACGGUCCAGACUCCUACGGGAGGCAGCAGUGGGGAAUAUUGGACAAUGGGCGCAAGCCUGAUCCAGCCAUACCGCGUGGGUGAAGAAGGCCUUCGGGUUGUAAAGCCCUUUUGUUGGGAAAGAAAAGCAGCAUGUUAAUACCCCGCUGUUCUGACGGUACCCAAAGAAUAAGCACCGGCUAACUUCGUG